UAGGGAAUCUUCCGCAAUGGACGAAAGUCUGACGGAGCAACGCCGCGUGAGUGAUGAAGGUUUUCGGAUCGUAAAACUCUGUUAUUAGGGAAGAACAAAUGCGUAAGUAACUGUGCGCAUCUUGACGGUACCUAAUCAGAAAGCCACGGCUAACUACGUGCCAGCAGCCGCGGUAAUACGUAGGUGGCAAGCGUUAUCCGGAAUUAUUGGGCGUAAGCGCGCGUAGGCGGUUUCUUAAGUCUGAUGUGAAAGCCCACGGCUCAACCGUGGAGGGUCAUUGGAAACUGGGAAACUUGAGUACAGAAGAGGAAAGUGGAAUUCCAUGUGUAGCGGUGAAAUGCGCAGAGAUAUGGAGGAACACCAGUGGCGAAGGCGACUUUCUGGUCUGUAACUGACGCUGAUGUGCGAAAGCGUGGGGAUCAAACA
RNAcentral lists this ribosomal RNA (426 nucleotides) under uncultured bacterium. RNAcentral describes it as "partial 16S ribosomal RNA". It matches the Rfam family "Bacterial small subunit ribosomal RNA", at positions 355 to 774 of the family's 1533-position model. The record is from RNAcentral.